UGGGGAAUAUUGGACAAUGGGGGAAACCCUGAUCCAGCGACGCCGCGUGUGUGAAGAAGGCCUUCGGGUUGUAAAGCACUUUCGGCAGGGACAAACAAGACGGAGCUAACAUCUCCGUUCCUGAUGGUACCUGAAGAAGAAGCACCGGCUAACUCUGUGCCAGCAGCCGCGGUAAUACAGAGGGUGCAAGCGUUAAUCGGAAUUACUGGGCGUAAAGCGUGCGUAGGUGGUUUGCUAAGUCAGGUGUGAAAUCCCAGGGCUCAACCCUGGAACUGCAUUUGAUACUGGCAGGCUAGAGUGUGGUAGAGGAUAGUGGAAUUCCCGGUGUAGCGGUGAAAUGCGUAGAUAUCGGGAGGAACAUCAGUGGCGAAGGCGGCUAUCUGGACUAACACUGACACUGAGGCACGAAAGCGUGGGGAGCAAACAG
Molecule: ribosomal RNA, 427 nt
Filed under: uncultured bacterium
Lineage: Bacteria
Description: bacterial SSU rRNA
Rfam family: Bacterial small subunit ribosomal RNA
Source: RNAcentral